UACGUAGGCAGCAAGCGUUGUUCGGAAUUACUGGGCGUAAAGAGUGCGUAGGCGGUUGGGCAAGUCCGUUGUGAAAUCUCCCGGCUUAACUGGGAGGGUGCGGUGGAAACUGCCCGGCUAGAGUGUGGGAGAGGAAAGUGGAAUUCCUGGUGUAGCGGUGAAAUGCGUAGAUAUCAGGAGGAACACCUGCGGUGUAGACGGCUUUCUGGACCACUACUGACGCUGAGGCACGAAAGCGUGGGGAG
Molecule: ribosomal RNA, 245 nt
Filed under: uncultured bacterium
Lineage: Bacteria
Description: partial 16S ribosomal RNA
Rfam family: Bacterial small subunit ribosomal RNA
Source: RNAcentral